GAAAUGCGAUAAAUAGUGUGAAUUGCAGAAUUCAGUGAAUCAUCGAAUCUUUGAACGCACAUUGCGCCCCUUGGUAUUCCAUGGGGCAUGCCUGUUCGAGCGUCAUUUGUACCCUCAAGCUCUGCUUGGUGUUGGGUGUUUGUCCCGUCUCCGCGCGUGGACUCGCCCCAAAGUGAUUGGCAGCCGGCGUACUGGUCCCGGAGCGCAGCACAUGUCGCGCAAACGAGUGCCUUGGUACGGCGGCGUCCAUAAGCCCCUCUCUCACGCUCUUGACCUCGGAUCAGGUAGGGAUACCCGCUGAACUUAAGC
Molecule: unclassified non-coding RNA, 309 nt
Filed under: plant metagenome
Description: partial contains 5.8S ribosomal RNA, internal transcribed spacer 2, and large subunit ribosomal RNA
Rfam family: 5.8S ribosomal RNA (bases 1-105)
Source: RNAcentral